CGUUUAAUUCGAUGAUACGCGAGGAACCUUACCAGGGCUUAAAUGC
Molecule: ribosomal RNA, 46 nt
Filed under: Florenciella parvula
Lineage: Eukaryota; Dictyochophyceae; Florenciellales
Description: partial Bacterial small subunit ribosomal RNA
Source: RNAcentral